AUGGGUGUUGGCUCCAACAAUUCUCAUUGGUCUCAAACCAAUGACAUGCAUUUCGAUGACCAUGAGUUCGAGAUGGACGAGGAUGGUGAGGGCAUCGUCGACGCACCGAAAGGAAGAGGAGGCAACUACACCAAUGAUGAAGACAUCUUGCUAUGUAAUACUUCGUUGCAAGUGUCGAGGGAUCCCUCCGUUGGAGCUGAUCAAAGUAGAGAUGCAUAUACUGGAACCGGAUGA
Molecule: ribosomal RNA, 234 nt
Filed under: Triticum aestivum (bread wheat)
Lineage: Eukaryota; Viridiplantae; Streptophyta; Magnoliopsida; Poales; Poaceae
Description: partial small subunit ribosomal RNA
Source: RNAcentral